GAUGAAGAACGUAGCGAAACGCGAUAGUUAAUGUGAAUUGCAGAAUUCAGUGAAUCAUCGAAUCUUUGAACGCACAUUGCGCCCCAUGGUAUUCCGUGGGGCAUGCCUGUUCGAGCGUCAUUUACCCCCUCAAGCUCCGCUUGGUGUUGGGCGUCUGUCCCGCUUCGCGCGCGGACUCGCCCCAAAGGUAUUGGCAGCGGUCGUGCCAGCUUCUCGCGCAGCACAUUGCGCUUCUCGAGGCACCGGUGGGCCCGCGUCCAUCAAGCUCACCCCCCCAGUUUGACCUCGGAUCAGGUAGGGAUACCCGCUGAACUUAAGCAUAUCAAUAAGCGGAGGA
RNAcentral lists this unclassified non-coding RNA (337 nucleotides) under soil metagenome. RNAcentral's name for it is "partial contains 5.8S ribosomal RNA, internal transcribed spacer 2, and large subunit ribosomal RNA". The stretch from base 1 to 120 matches the Rfam family "5.8S ribosomal RNA", at positions 35 to 154 of the family's 154-position model. The record is from RNAcentral.